Long non-coding RNA from Mirounga angustirostris (Northern elephant seal), 3461 nucleotides. RefSeq lists it as uncharacterized. NCBI's taxonomy places the organism in Eukaryota, Metazoa, Chordata, Mammalia, Carnivora, Phocidae. The transcript has 6 exons. The record is from RefSeq and is a predicted model, not a curated record.
GGGCAAAGGGUUGUGGGGUCCUUCUCUGUUGAAUGGAUCACUUUAAACACUAGCAGGUUGCAUUUUAAAGUUGAUCUGUGGGUGAAGGGGAGUGGAGGAUUGUGGUAGUUGAACAGGCUUUGCUACAGGUAAAAGGAAAGUACUGCACAUGGAGGCAUUUUCUCCCUGAAUUUUCUUUACCCAUUUUUGUUUAAAAAAAAAAAAAAAUUCAAUUCCGGUUCCCAUCUGCAAUGCACUUGGCCAGGCUCUUGAUCCCUCUUGAUAGGCAUGUUUUGAUCCUGGCUCGCACAAAGCCCCCUCGGCCACCUCUCUAGUUUAAGGAGAAGCAGCUGCUGGCUUGUUCUCUUAUAAGCAGUCUGUGUGCCGUGCAGCUGGGGGGCUUCCUUGGGGGCCCACCUCGGGGCCCCUCCCCAGCCGCCUGUAGAAGGGACUGUCUCUGGCUGGAGGAAGACAAAAGUGCCCCAUCCCCUUCAUGCCCAGUCUCACUACUCCCUCAUUUUCAUCCCGUGUCUCCAGGCUGGUCUGCACCACAAUUGCGCUGGAACCCUCGGGGAAAUUCAGAGAGCACCUGCUCCUUGAAAACUUCCCUGCCGUUUUAGGUGGUCUGCAAGUUUCCCUUCCCUUCUGCUGCCCCAGCCAAUAUAGAAAGAAUAUUCACAUUUAAGGGAGGGAGCCAGAAACAUUUCUUUCCUCCUUUUUUUUUUUCUCCCAGCUGGCAUGGGCUUUGGUGCACUUUAUAGAUUCAUUGCCUUCAAAAUGUAAUUUUAGAAAUGUCAGGUUGAUUUUGAGCUGUGUGAGAGUGAGAAAAGCAUCCGUCAGCUUCAGAAUUAGAAAGGCACCAACUUAGAAUUUUUGUCGGAGGCUUAUGCCCAAGGAAACGUGGUCUGCUCAGAGUUGGCAGCCCCGAGAGCCCUGGGUUGCCAGUGGGCAUGUAGAGGGGUCUCCCCGUCAUGCCGUGGCCAGUGUUACGUGGGGUGUGGCGCCAGGGCCGAGGCCCCCGAGGUGCCAUGGGAGGCUGCCUAGCCAUUUGGGUCAAGAUGCCUUCUGCCCAUGCCUCAGCUCCAGGAGUCAGUUAACUGAGCUCCAUGCUUCCCUCUCUCAGACGCCACUGCCCAGAGACCCCUCCCUCGGGGCCGACCCUGGCAAUCGCUCCGGGUUUAACUAUUGGCACUAUUGAUUUUGCCAGUAUACCAAAGUGCAUCUGUCUUUGUGAUUAGUGUCCUCCAGACAGGCCAUGGCAGUCAGUCCUUUGAUUCAAACCAUCUCUAGUCCUCUGACUGGCACCAUGCACAGUGCAGUGAUGCUUUGUUGGAAAAUAGACUUCAACUUGGAGCCAACUUCAGUGAUUGGCAGUGGCUGCCAAGAAUUCUGCACAGAGAAGAAUCCUGAUAAAUGAGUGAUGUUUGUGCUGGGAUUAGGGCAGGGAGUGGUGGUAAUCAUGCUGUGUGUUUCCCAACACCGCAUUAGACCUUGUCUUUCGUGGGGCUUUUAGAGUUUACUAUUACUACUACAAGUUACAACUACUCUCCUCCUUCUCCUCGUCCUCCUCCUUUUUAAAUAAAUAACUAGGAUUCCGGAACCCUGAGAGAGGGUUCUCAAAAAGUCUCAAAAAGUGCCUAAGUGUUACAACCUAAUUCAACUUAAAUUCAUUUAAACAACAACAGAAAAUGAGGGUGGAUUUAUUUGCUCAGUUAACUAAAAGGUCUGGGUGUAUGCUUCAGGCAUAGGGGCUCAGGUGGGGGUCUCAGCAAUUUCCCCCUCUUCAGCUCCCACCUUUGAUUACCUCUGUGUUGCUUCAUUCUAACAGACUUCUCAUAAGGAGGCAGAAUGGCCACCAUGGUAUCUCCAGCCAAAGUCUUGGAGUUGAGCCUGCCUUGAAUCCUGUGUCCAGUCUUCAGUCAGCCACUGGAAUCAAGGAGCUGCCAUCCUGGGUGAGCUGUGACUUGGACUCCAGCUGGAAAGGAAGAAGCUAGCAGGGAGAGAACAAAUCCUGACAACACACGACCCCGAGCUCUUGCUACCUGCAUUCUGCCGCCCAUCUGUUACCUGCCCUCAGAACCAGCCCCAGGGGAACCCUCGCUGCUUUAUCUUGGGCUUCAAGGCAAGCCUGGGGUGAGAGAAGCCCAGAACCAGACAGGCUGGUUUUUCUGCCCUAUAAACCAGGCCCGUGGUUAAAGACAAAGCACCUGGAAAAGACAGGAGUGGACCCAGGCUGGAGCCUGAAGUGUCCUGUCCUUCUGGCCUUGCCUUCCGGGUGUGGGCAGGUGCUCAUAGCUGGGAGAGCAGUACAAAGACUUGGAACUUUAGUCAUCCAGCUUCUUACCUUGUGAUGGAAAGCAUAUAAAUGACAUGUCCAGAGGAAACCGGCUUGGAAGUCUGAUCCAGUCAGAGUCCCUCUAGUGCCAGAGAUGCAGGUCAGGAAUUCAGUGAGCACUGGAUAUACUGCCAUCACCCUGAUCUGAGUCCAUCUCUGUCAAGGUCCUGCAGGAGCUGCUGCUGCUGGGAUGGCUGUUGGACGGAGGCCUCCAGGGCGCCCACCGAGCUGGUGUCAUCAGAAAGAGACGUAAAGGAAACCCGGGAGGAGAGCUGCUCGACGGUCAGGGUGGCCAGGGCCGAGCUCUGGCCUGAGUUAGGAGAGUUCUUGAGCAUCAGGUCGGAGGCAGGAACUAAGCCAUCAACUCCUGCAAUCCUGCAAGACCCGUCUCUGUCCCCUUCCAGGUCGCAAGAGUACAGCGGCCUCCCCCAGGCACCGCACUGGCACAAAGGGAUGAGUGGAUGCAAAACAUCAUUAACCUGGCUAGAGUCUGAGUUUGCUGCUCUCUAUUUGAGCAAGGCUAGACCGAAAAGAUCGGUCCACAAUCAAGCGGCGAGAACGAGGCCUUGAGCUCGGUGUAAUACAGCCUGACCCCACUUUCCCAUCCAAGCAGCAAGAAGGCCCAUAGAGGCCACACAGGACAAAGGAGAGGUGACGUGUGAUGCCUCCGUGGAGCUUCCUCUUGGUGACGGCACAACUGGCCUGAAGCCGUGGGCUCAGUGGCUGUGACAAGCCUUUUUGGACUGUUGGCGGGGGUGUGACCAUGUCAGUGGUCGGGGACUCUCCCCAUCAGCACGUCAGAAGAGUCAUCUUGGCCACAGCUGCAGUCUUCGGGGCUCUACUUCUUUACUACGUCACUAGGCCGACCAUAGGAUUUCUCUGCUGACUCCAGUAACGGCUUCAAGGGCCUCUCCCAGAACUGAAAGCUAGAUGUGAGUUGGGCAAUCUGUAAAACGGAUUAUCUUCCUAUUAACAUCUACACUACAUUAGUGUUUCUUCUUAAAUGUGUUUCUAAUUCCAGAGGUUUAUAUUUUGAGAGUUUUACCCACUUAAACAUUCUUGUUCUUUUUUGGGGGUGGAGGGGGCUGAUUAAUGUUAAAAAAUAAAUAAACAUACUGCUAUCCUAGAAAGAUAGUAUUCAAUACUA